CCUACGGGGGGCAGCAGUGGGGGAUAUUGCACAAUGGGGGAAACCCUGAUGCAGCGACGCCGCGUGGGUGAAGAAGCGCCUCGGCGCGUAAAGCCCUGUCAGCAGGGAAGAAAAUGACGGUACCUGAAGAAGAAGCCCCGGCUAACUAGGUGCCAGCAGCCGCGGUACAACAGAGGGGGCAAACGUUAUCCGCAUUUACUGGGUGUAAAGGGGGCGCAGACGGCGAUGCAAGCCAGGAGUGAAAGCCCGGGGCCGAACCCCGGGACUGCUCUUGGAACUGCGUGGCUAGAGGGCAGGAGGGGCAGGCGGAAUGCCUGGUGUAGCGGUGAAAGGCGUAGAUAUCAGGAGGAACACCGGUGGCGAAGGCGGCCUGCUGGACUGCAACUGACGUUGAGGCCCGAAAGCGUGGGGAGCAAACAGGAUUAGAUACCCCAGUAGUA
RNAcentral lists this ribosomal RNA (440 nucleotides) under uncultured bacterium. Its description in RNAcentral is "partial 16S ribosomal RNA". It matches the Rfam family "Bacterial small subunit ribosomal RNA", at positions 338 to 795 of the family's 1533-position model. The record is from RNAcentral.